UGUUAGCUCAGCUCCUCACUCACACACACCGGCCGCGGGGUUUCUCUUCAUUCUGAAACUGUGAAAUUUCACUGUACACACAGAGAUGAGUAUCAACACUGUUCUCCGUCUGCUCUGCCUGACUCUCGUGGCUGGAACUCAUUUAAACGGGAUUAACGCGGACAAAUCCUGUACGAAAACUGACUUCUAUAACAGUGAUAUUGGUGAAUGUGUACCCUGCUCUUCAUGCAUACAGUACCCCAAAACCCCAUCGUGUGACACAUGCCCACCGCCAUCAGAGCCUCUUAAUUCCUGGAGGGUGGCAGCCAUCACCAGUUUCUCAGUGCUGGCAGCUGUGGUUGUUUUCGGAGCUUUGGUUAUAGGAGUGCUGGUACAUCAAUGCAAAUCCAAAAGAACCCUAAGUGAGCCGAUUGAAGAAACUACAGGCCCUCUUUAUCCUGUAUAGGCAUAUAACUAUCCUAAUGGAAUAGAGCUCCAGACAUGAUGAGAUGAUGGUUCAGUCAGAGAGCUGGCUGAUAAAUAGACUACAAAGUGUACUUUGAGCAGCAUGUGAUUCUUCUAAUUUAUUAUUAUACUGGUAGGUUAAGCAUAGAGGUGAUUAACACUCCAGAACAUGCAGACGUUGUAGUGUCGCUGUGAGCUCAGAAACCUCAGAGACUUGGUCAUUCACUGUACGUGACGUGUGAGCAAACCUGCGGUGCUAUUUAGGAGGAAUCCUCUACACAGCUGCAACUCGCCUUACAAUGGAUGCAUCAAUUCGUUUUAACCUCUGUGUUCAUUUUAUAGAGCAAAGUCCCUUAUUCUGUCUAUUUUUAUAUCUUUGACCUCAUAUGUCUUUUUAAACCAGCAAAAACUGCCUUAAACCUCCAGAGCUGCAGACAUACAUUUUGUACAGGAGCUAUUUACCUGCACGUUAGAUGUAUUCUGGCCUAAUGAAUGUACUGUGUAAUCCCUAUUGUAUAGAUGAACGACCUGUUUAUAUUUGAGUACUAUGCACUGUUAAGAUAUACACAUUAUAGUAUAGAAAAUGUUCUAAGACUGACUGGCUUUGUAGCCUGUCUGUGGUGUUACAGAUGUAGGAUAAACAACCUCUGAGGUCAUUUGUAUCUUAGCAGCUAUUACAGGUGCUACCAGCAUAUGACAGAGUCGAGUAAUGUUUCCUAUUAUGAACGGGUUAAGCUACAUGGCCAAGUGUGUUGACUCUUUGUAGGUGCUAGAUUCAGCUUAUUUAGCCACACAGACAUGCACUCUCCUUAGACAAACAUAAGCAGUAUAAUGAGUCGUACUAAAGUGCUUAGUGAAUGUUUAAAACACGGCACUGUGAAAGGAUAGCACCUUCUAACCAGACCAGUUACAUCUGGAACGACUGCUCGGCCACAGACAUCACUAUGCCCAAUGCCAAGCACUUGCCUAAGUAGUAUUAAUCACAUCAUCAUCGGGCAGUGGUUGCACAGCAGUUAAGAUACUGAACUGGUAAACAAAAGGUUGCUGGUUCAAGCCCCAUUAUGACCAAGGUGCCACUGUUGGGCUUCUGAGCAAGGCCCUUAACUCUCAAUUACUCGAAUUGUAUUCAGUAAUAAUUGUAAGUUGCUUUGGAUUAAAGCUACAAACGUAAAUGUAUUGGACUUUGAAACAGUACAAACGGUUCCUGAGGUCGGGAAUCACUUCAGCCCUCUGGUGGUUUGAUGAUUCUGGGUUUGAUGGAUGCUGGGAGUAUGCUAUAGUUGGCAACCUGGGUUUGGUAAAGAAAAAUAUGACUGUUGGUUUGUAAUUCUGCACCGUUUAAUAAUAUUCUAAACAACUGUUUCCAGUGUUGUGGAAACUGAGAAAGGAUUGUUCCUGUUUCAGCAUGACAGUGUCCCUGUGCCCAGUGUGAGGUCCAUAAAGAAAUGGUUUGCUAAGUUUGGUCUAGUUGGAACAGAAAAUAUAAGCAGGAAUUAUUGCCCAACAUCAAUGCCUGACCUCGGUAAUGUACUUGUGGCUGACUGGAAGCAAAUCACUUCAAUAUUGUUCCAAAAUAAACAAAAAACUCCCACAGGAGUGGAGGAACCCCAUAUAAAUGUCCAAAGUGAUUGGGUGUCGGAUAUCUACAAAUGUUUGGAUAUAUUGUGCACUUAGAUAAAAGUUGAUUCAAGUGUUGAGUCACAAAUCCAUAAUCGUGAUCACUGAUGGGUAAUAAAUGGUUUCAUAAAUGAGCAAAACCUCAUAGCGCUGUUAGAAUACUGAGAUCUGCUAUAGUGAACGAUUAUACUUUAUAUAGCCCACUGAGAAACAGCUCUUUCUGGUCUCUGAGAUAUCAAGAAAGAGUUUAGAAGUGGUAACAAUCAUGCAGUAUUAUUUUCUGUAAGAGCUUUAUAUUCUUACUGGUCAUUGUAACAGUGUUGAUGGAGUAAAUGUUAAAGAAACAGUUUGUCCCUUUACUAAUGUUUACAUGAUGUUAGACUACAGAACAGCCUAAUCAUUUGUAAGCAAUAAA
Molecule: long non-coding RNA, 2476 nt
Organism: Trichomycterus rosablanca
Lineage: Eukaryota; Metazoa; Chordata; Actinopteri; Siluriformes; Trichomycteridae
Exons: 5
Source: RefSeq, a predicted model, not a curated record